Molecule: ribosomal RNA, 253 nt
Filed under: uncultured bacterium
Lineage: Bacteria
Description: partial 16S ribosomal RNA
Rfam family: Bacterial small subunit ribosomal RNA
Source: RNAcentral
UACAGAGGGUGCGAGCGUUGUCCGGAAUUAUUGGGCGUAAAGAGCUUGUAGGCGGUUUGUCGCGUCUGCCGUGAAAAUUCGAGGCUCAACCUCGAACUUGCGGUGGGUACGGGCAGACUAGAGUGUGGUAGGGGAGACUGGAAUUCCUGGUGUAGCGGUGAAAUGCGCAGAUAUCAGGAGGAACACCGAUGGCGAAGGCAGAUCUCUGGGCCGUAACUGACGCUGAGGAGCGAAAGCAUGGGGAGCGAACAGG